This 1987-nucleotide long non-coding RNA is filed under the name Eucalyptus grandis. RNAcentral's name for it is "long non-coding RNA (EGRA_LNC006744)". Lineage: Eukaryota; Viridiplantae; Streptophyta; Magnoliopsida; Myrtales; Myrtaceae. The record is from RNAcentral.
CGUUCCUGGCGUCGCCGCGGUCGGAUUGAUCCGAUUUGCGCGCGAUUUGGUGAGUAAUCUCACUAAUCCCGGAUGAGUUGGCUAAUCAUACUUUAGAUUGGUUUAGUUUUAAUUAAUUAUGUUUAGGUUGUUAGAUUAGAAGUAAUUAGCAAUUAUUAGUCAAUUGUGAUGCGAUUUAGAUAAAUUGAUUGUGCAAUUAACAAGUAGACGUGGUCUACUAUUUAUUGGGAGUGUCUCGUAAUUUUCGGACCUCUAAUUGAGCUUCAAUUUAAUGAUUCGGGCCUAAGUGAGAUUUUUGGGCAUUUAAAUAUUAAUUUUCGGAAUUAAAUUAAAUAAUUAUUUAUUUUCUGAAAAUUCAAGGGAGAUGGUCCGGAACCGGAAUAUUAUGCUGAUGAUUGUGGUGAAGUCCGUUUAUUUAAUUGGGCUUUAUUUUAAGCUAAAUUGAAUUUUUAAUAUUAUUUAUUUAAUUUUCGAAAUUAAUUAAUUAUUUACUUUUUUCCCGAAAAUUCAACUGGGACGGCCCGUGACCGGAAAUUUAGGCUGAUGAUCAUGGUGAAGUUCGUUUAUUCAAUUGGGCCUUAUAUUGAGCUAAACAGAAUAUUUAGUAUUUAAUAAUUAAUUUUCGAAAUUAAUUAAUUAAUUACUUAUUUUUCGGAAAUUAAAGCUGAGAUAGCCAGCGACCGAAAUUUCGUGCUGAUUGUCAUGGCGCAGUUCAUUUAUUUAAUUGAGCUUUAUUUUGUGCUGAAUUGAAUUAUUUGUGAGAUUGAGAAUUGUCCUUUAAUGGAAUAAUCUUUUAUUAUUAAUUGGAAAAUAACCGGUUGUUGGUUGAAAGGCACCAAAAGUGUUUUGGUGGGCUAUAGAGAAUGGUGGGAAUUAUGAAAAAGGAAAUUAUAAUAUUUUGGAUAAGGCCAAUCGUGUAUCCACACGGCUAUUUUAUCGAGAAGGAUAAAAGAUGGAAUGGAUUGAAUGGUCGGAUAGUAUACAAUAUCAUCCUAUCGGCUCUGAUAUGUCGGUUUAGCGAGAGCAGUAUACUGGUGUACUAUAUCAGCCUACGGGCGAUAUGUCAGCUUAGCGCGAGCAGUACACUUUAUCAGCUUAGUGUGAGCAUCGGGGGGAUAUUAUAUCAGCCUGUGGGCGAUAUGUCAGCUUAGCGAGAGCAGUAUACCUUAACCCUAUCAGCUUAGUGCGAGCUAUACUAUCUAUAUAUCAGCUUAGAGUGAGCAGUCCUGGACUAUGGUCGGACUUAUGGAUAGUAUUGAAUAUGCAGACCAAGCAUGGGCAGUGAUGUCAUGUAAUCGACUAGGUCGAUUGAUCAUUGUCUUGAUAUGAUGCUGUGAAUUGAUUGAUUGGAUGGAAAUGACCAUGAGUGAAUUGAUCGAUGCUUCGAUCUGCGAUGUGAUUGCCGGGGUGUUUAUUUGAUCUGUGCUAACAUGUAGGUGGGAUUUGAUGCUAAAGUACGUCUUCUGACCUAUGCGUGUUUAGGCAGCCUUUAGUAUAAUAGUUUACUAAUCGGGCUUAGUGGGGUAGAACUCGCUGAGACGUAGUCUCAUCCCAGUUUGGGGAAAAACAUUUCAGGACCCCGUUGAGGAGCUGAGGAGGAAUAUGAGAAGGAGAACUCGGAGGUGAAACCUGAGUAGAAGGAUUUUUGGAAGAAGAAGAUAAUACCGAGAGAGAUUUUGAGUAUGACCUGAAGGGAUUGAGAUUCCAUCUUCUUUUGUGAACUCCAAUUGAUGUGAAUAGUUAUGAAGUUCUCUAGUUGAUGUCAUGUACAAAAGUUUGGUUAUAAAUUUCAAUAUGAAAAAUAUGGCCCUGCUUUUUUAUCCCAUCGUUUUAUUGUCUGGGGAUUUUACUUGCUCCCACAUGUGCUUAAAAAUGAAAGGGUCGGCGAUACAUUGUCCUGGGAUAUCGCAUUAUAAAAUCGACCAAGUGAGACGGAUGUGUGCGUGCCUGAGGAUCGGGGCGUGACAUCCAGUUUAAGUGGUAUCAG